RNAcentral lists this ribosomal RNA (685 nucleotides) under Bacillus subtilis. RNAcentral describes it as "bacterial SSU rRNA". It matches the Rfam family "Bacterial small subunit ribosomal RNA", at positions 64 to 731 of the family's 1533-position model. Lineage: Bacteria; Bacillati; Bacillota; Bacilli; Caryophanales; Bacillaceae. The record is from RNAcentral.
GAGCGGACAGAUGGGAGCUUGCUCCCUGAUGUUAGCGGCGGACGGGUGAGUAACACGUGGGUAACCUGCCUGUAAGACUGGGAUAACUCCGGGAAACCGGGGCUAAUACCGGAUGGUUGUUUGAACCGCAUGGUUCAAACAUAAAAGGUGGCUUCGGCUACCACUUACAGAUGGACCCGCGGCGCAUUAGCUAGUUGGUGAGGUAAUGGCUCACCAAGGCAACGAUGCGUAGCCGACCUGAGAGGGUGAUCGGCCACACUGGGACUGAGACACGGCCCAGACUCCUACGGGAGGCAGCAGUAGGGAAUCUUCCGCAAUGGACGAAAGUCUGACGGAGCAACGCCGCGUGAGUGAUGAAGGUUUUCGGAUCGUAAAGCUCUGUUGUUAGGGAAGAACAAGUACCGUUCGAAUAGGGCGGUACCUUGACGGUGCCUAACCCGAAAGCCACGGCAAACUACGUGCCAGCAGCCGCGGUAAUACGUAGGUGGCAAGCGUUGUCCGGAAUUAUUGGGCGUAAAGGGCUCGCAGGCGGUUUCUUAAGUCUGAUGUGAAAGCCCCCGGCUCAACCGGGGAGGGUCAUUGGAAACUGGGGAACUUGAGUGCAGAAGAGGAGAGUGGAAUCCCACGUGUAGCGCUGAUAUGCGUAGAGAUGUGGAGGAACACCACUGGCGAAGGCGAAUCUUUG